Long non-coding RNA from Exaiptasia diaphana, 195 nucleotides. RefSeq lists it as uncharacterized. The record is from RefSeq and is a predicted model, not a curated record. The transcript has 2 exons. Lineage: Eukaryota; Metazoa; Cnidaria; Anthozoa; Actiniaria; Aiptasiidae.
AUGGCGCCUUCGGUGUGCAAGUUUCCACGUGCCAGCUAGGAAAAAUAUCUUUUUAACAGCCCUUCACCACUCAAAUCGUCAAAAAAGGUUCAUUAGGUCAAUUGUCAACCAAGAACCACACCAGACACCCAAUGUUCAAACUUCAAGCACAUUGUUGCCUCUAAAAUCUAAAAAUAAAAUGUUAUGUCUUUCUUA